RNAcentral lists this ribosomal RNA (477 nucleotides) under uncultured bacterium. RNAcentral's name for it is "partial 16S ribosomal RNA". It matches the Rfam family "Bacterial small subunit ribosomal RNA", at positions 28 to 507 of the family's 1533-position model. The record is from RNAcentral.
GAUUAACGCUGGCGGCGUGCAUAACACAUGCAAGUCGAACGAUGAAACUUAAAUGAUUUCUUCGGAAUGAACUUAAGUGGCUUAGUGGCGGACGGGUGAGUAACGCGUGAGUAACCUGCCUUACACAAGGGGAUAGCCGUUGGAAACGACGAAUAAUACCCUAUGAAACUAUCACUUCGCAUGAAGCGAUAGUCAAAGUGUUAGCGGUGUAAGAUGGACUUGCGUCUGAUUAGCUAGUUGGUGAGAAAAAAGCCCACCAAGGCAACGAUCAGUAGCCGGCUUGAGAGAGUGUACGGCCACAUUGGGACUGAGACACGGCCCAGACUCCUACGGGAGGCAGCAGUGGGGAAUUUUGCACAAUGGGGGAAACCCUGAUGCAGCGACGCCGCGUGAUUUAGAAGGCCUUCGGGUUGUAAAAAUCUUUUGUAUAGGAAGAAAAUGACAGUACUAUACGAAUAAGGUUCGGCUAAUUACGUG